UUGUGGAGGAGGACGCCGAAGGUGGGGCUAAUGACUGGGGUGAAGUCGUAACAAGGUAGCCGUACCGGAAGGUGCGGCUGGAUCACCUCCUAACAGGGAGACAACAAAAUGUUAAAUAUUAUUAUUUUGUCACCUUAGGUCGAUCGGUAUCUCACAUUCUUGAUUUAUCACGAAUUUCUUUUCCUAAGUUUUUCUAGGUCACACCCAUUUUUUUUCCUGGGCCAUUAGCUCAGGUGGUUAGAGCGCACCCCUGAUAAGGGUGAGGUCCCUGGUUCAAGUCCAGGAUGGCCCAUAUCUCUAUGUUGGGGGUAUAGCUCAGUUGGUAGAGCGCCUGCUUUGCAAGCAGGAUGUCAACGGUUCGAGUCCGCUUACCUCCACUGAUUACCACCUCUUCCAUAUACUUAGAAAGGAAAAUUUUGAGUUGUGAUCAAAUUCUGAACGAAUCUAGCUUCCUAAUGUAACCAUUAAGAUGCUGGACUCAUUGAAUUAAUUUCAUUGUUUUCAGAGAACCUUGACAACUGCAUAGAUUAUUUUAAAGACAAUAAGCAUCUUUAAUGAUGCAGAUUUAUUAUUUGUGCUAAUGCAUUAAUAACAAUUCUAUUAAGCUGAUGCUUCAAUUUUGAAGUUAUUGGUCAAGCUACAA
Molecule: unclassified non-coding RNA, 643 nt
Filed under: uncultured Prochlorococcus sp.
Lineage: Bacteria; Bacillati; Cyanobacteriota; Cyanophyceae; Synechococcales; Prochlorococcaceae
Description: partial 16S-23S ribosomal RNA intergenic spacer; may also contain 16S ribosomal RNA and 23S ribosomal RNA
Rfam family: Bacterial small subunit ribosomal RNA (bases 1-93)
Source: RNAcentral